CGGGAACGGCUCAAAUUUGAAAUCUGGCGGUCUACGGCCGUCCGAGUUGUAGUCUAGAGAGGCGUCUUCCGCGCCGGACCGUGUACAAGUCCCUUGGAAUGGGGCGUCGUAGAGGGUGAGAACCCCGUUUGCGACACGGACCGCCGGUGCUUUGUGAUGCGCCUUCGAA
RNAcentral lists this ribosomal RNA (169 nucleotides) under Hyaloriaceae sp. RNAcentral's name for it is "partial large subunit ribosomal RNA". It matches the Rfam family "Eukaryotic large subunit ribosomal RNA", at positions 99 to 261 of the family's 3401-position model. The record is from RNAcentral. Lineage: Eukaryota; Fungi; Basidiomycota; Agaricomycetes; Auriculariales; Hyaloriaceae.